Long non-coding RNA from Quercus lobata, 1073 nucleotides. RefSeq lists it as uncharacterized. Lineage: Eukaryota; Viridiplantae; Streptophyta; Magnoliopsida; Fagales; Fagaceae. The transcript has 4 exons. The record is from RefSeq and is a predicted model, not a curated record.
AUUUUUAUUUUAUUAUUUAUUUAUAAAACUUACUGUAUAUGUAAGCUCCAAAAAGGAGAGAACCCUAGUAUCCUCUCUCUUCAAUCUUCAUAGUCAAUUGCGUGGAAGUCUCUCUCACCUACUUCUCCACGCUGCCUCUCUUUCUUCUGUUUCAUGCCUCUAAACACCACCAAUUUUUCGAUUUUAUUGACAGAUCUUCCUUCUAAUCUUUGAAUGAAAUUUUAUAAUUUUUGUAUUCUCCUCUCUCAUGUUGCCCCUCAUCCCUCUUUCUCUCACCUCUGUUCCUCUCACUCUCACGCCGCCGGCGUUCUCGGCCCGAUGCUGAUCUUUCCCAGCCUCCGCCGCCGUCGAUCUCGCCCAGCCACGAUCUUUGGCAAUAACAACCCUUCUUAGUUAUGGCUGUUCAUCGGCGCAGUUGACAUAUCCUUCUUGGAUAUGGCUAUUCAUCGGCGCAGUUGACGUGAAAGAUUUGUGUGGAAAAAGAAGAUUGAGAGAGUUGUUGCUCAAGCUAUGAUGCUUCACAUGUUAGUUGAAGCUGAGAUAAAAAGAGAUAUAGAAAGGCUGAAUUAAAAUCGAAGGAGAGGAUUUGAAAGUCAUACAUGUCUCGAAAAUAUCAAGAGAUGACAACUAGUUGAUCACUAGAAAUUGACUGGUUCAAGUGAAGCACAUACAUAAAGAAGCUAAUACAUAUAUCCAUAAUUUUGAAUUUUUUUAUGUUUGAGUUUGGAAUCAAAUAUUCUGUGUUCCAACAAAAUACUCCCUUUGAGGUUAUUUUUAAUUCAUGCUUAAGAAAAAAAAUGUUCCAUAACAUUUAAAGAGGAUCUUAACUAAUUUAGGUUAUUGAUUGGAGUUACAUAUAUAAUAUAUUUUGAUUAGCUAUGAGCUACUCAAAUGUUGCCUAGCUGUCGGAUGACAUGGUUGGAAAUUUUGAACAUAUCGAUCUGUUUAUAAUUUAAUCCUUUAUGAAGAAAAACAAUCAAAAAAUAAAAAAGGAUUAAAAGAAGUAAUUGUUUUCCCGCAACCCAUAAGAAGAUUGAAAAAAAAAAAAAAGGUAAUUGUAAAUUGGUACAAAU